RNAcentral lists this ribosomal RNA (495 nucleotides) under uncultured bacterium. RNAcentral describes it as "partial 16S ribosomal RNA". It matches the Rfam family "Bacterial small subunit ribosomal RNA", at positions 36 to 507 of the family's 1533-position model. The record is from RNAcentral.
GAUGAACGGGCGGCGUGCCUAAUACAUGCAAGUCGAGCGAACAGACGAGGAGCUUGCUCCUCUGACGUUAGCGGCGGACGGGUGAGUAACACGUGGAUAACCUACCUAUAAGACUGGGAUAACUUCGGGAAACCGGAGCUAAUACCGGAUAAUAUAUUGAACCGCAUGGUUCAAUAGUGAAAGACGGUUUUGCUGUCACUUAUAGAUGGAUCCGCGCCGCAUUAGCUAGUUGGUAAGGUAACGGCUUACCAAGGCGACGAUGCGUAGCCGACCUGAGAGGGUGAUCGGCCACACUGGAACUGAGACACGGUCCAGACUCCUACGGGAGGCAGCAGUAGGGAAUCUUCCGCAAAGGGCGAAAGCUUGACGGAGCAACGCCGCGUGAGUGAUGAAGGUCUUCGGAUCGUAAAACUCUGUUAUUAGGGAAGAACAAAUGUGUAAGUAACUAUGCACGUCUUGACGGUACCUAAUCAGAAAGCCACGGCUAACUACGUG